This 321-nucleotide ribosomal RNA is filed under the name uncultured Anabaena sp. RNAcentral's name for it is "bacterial SSU rRNA". It matches the Rfam family "Bacterial small subunit ribosomal RNA", at positions 479 to 799 of the family's 1533-position model. The record is from RNAcentral. Lineage: Bacteria; Bacillati; Cyanobacteriota; Cyanophyceae; Nostocales; Nostocaceae.
CUGAGGAAUAAGCAUCGGCUAACUCCGUGCCAGCAGCCGCGGUAAUACGGAGGAUGCAAGCGUUAUCCGGAAUGAUUGGGCGUAAAGAGUCCGUAGGUGGCAUUGAAAGUCUGCUGUUAAAGAGUCUAGCUCAACUAGAUAAGAGCAGUGGAAACUACAAAGCUAGAGUUUGGUCGGGGCAGAAGGAAUUCCUGGUGUAGCGGUGAAAUGCGUAGAUAUCAGGAAGAACACCGGUGGCGAAGGCGUUCUGCUAGGCCGAGACUGACACUGAGGGACGAAAGCUAGGGGAGCGAAUGGGAUUAGAUACCCCAGUAGUCCUAG